UUUUUACUAUAACUAUGUCCCAAGCAAUAUUUGGGACAUACUUAGACUAAAA
Molecule: microRNA precursor, 52 nt
Filed under: Bos taurus (domestic cattle)
Lineage: Eukaryota; Metazoa; Chordata; Mammalia; Artiodactyla; Bovidae
Also listed under: 4 other names
Description: mir-1302 microRNA precursor family
Rfam family: mir-1302 microRNA precursor family
Source: Rfam by way of RNAcentral